UGGGAAAUGCCUGAAGCACCAGUCUUUGGAAUUCAAUUUUUGACAAUUAAAGAUGUGUGUAGGAAAGCCAACCCUUUGAUUUGGAACCAUUUGAACACUUCAAAAACAGGAGAGUUCUGUAUAUGCACAGAGUCACAUUUACAGAAUACUUUCGGUCUGUGAACGUUGAAGUUUUUACUUGAUUCAUCAGCCAUGAAGAUCUAUCACCUUUUCUUUUUGACUCUCUUUCUGAAAGGUGUAGUUGGUCCAGAUCCUGCUGGAGGUCAACUUGAUUGUCAAUAUCGUUUUGAUGGUUUCUGUUCCCCAAACGACCUUCCCUGCCCUGACUGUUUUGUUUCAUAUGGACAGUGUGAAUUUGGCUUCCAGUGCUGUGCCAAAUCAAGUUGGAUUCCAGAGUGUGAAUAUGCAACUUCACCUGCUGAAAGUUUUUUUCCUAAAACAACAACUUCACAAAUAUUUUAUGAUGAAACCGAGGCAGCCAAAUAAACUGGUGUGACAGAAAUUCUUUUCCUGCUAAGUAAAAACAUCUGAGUAUCCUCUAACAGUGGAUGGAGCCUUUAAAGAUUAAUUUAAUUCCCCAAAAUGUUGGUUCUUAUGAGUUGCUGAAACUGGUAUGCAUUAAAACUGAUACUUUCCAUACUU
Long non-coding RNA from Protobothrops mucrosquamatus (brown spotted pit viper), 642 nucleotides. RefSeq lists it as uncharacterized. NCBI's taxonomy places the organism in Eukaryota, Metazoa, Chordata, Lepidosauria, Squamata, Viperidae. The transcript is spliced from 5 exons. The record is from RefSeq and is a predicted model, not a curated record.